This 385-nucleotide ribosomal RNA is filed under the name Zoothamnopsis sinica. RNAcentral's name for it is "eukaryotic LSU rRNA". The stretch from base 48 to 193 matches the Rfam family "5.8S ribosomal RNA". Lineage: Eukaryota; Ciliophora; Oligohymenophorea; Sessilida; Zoothamnidae. The record is from RNAcentral.
CCUAUUUCUAGGUGAUUUAUUCGUUAAUUAAUAACCUAAAUAUCUUAAAUUUUCAACGAUGGAUAUCUAGGCUCCUAUAACGAUGAAGAACGCAGCGAAAUGCGAUACGCAAUGCGAAUUGCAGAACCGCGAGUCAUCAGAUCUUUGAACGCAAGUGGCGGUGGUUUCGGCCAUCAUGUUUGUUUCAGUGUGUUCGGUUAAUUGCAUCAUAGAAUUAAAUGUGACUGAAGAAAUUCUUUCACUUAAUACGAAGUAAUGUCAACCUAGACAUUAAACGAACAGGCAACAAUAUGUUGAUAACGUUUAAGUGUUGAAAGUUGUAAAACCAUUACUUGAUAGCUAUUUUAUCCAACAAUAACACCUGAAAUAAGCAAGGUUACCCGCU